UCAACGAAAGCUUUCCCCUAACUUUCAGACCCAAUUUUUCUUCAAUCUCCCCGACCCUUCUUUCUCGACUCAUUAUUUCUGAUCAGAGGGUGCUGUCGNAGCAUGAGGAGGUGUUGUCACUAGGUCAGAGGGUGGUGUCGCGGUGUGGGCAAAGCUUGUAGCUGGCGAGGAAGGCGUGACGAAGUGGCUUUCACUGCGUGAGAAGGGCUUCGUGAGAGAGGGUAUCGGAGGUGCGGGUUGUUACUGCCGUAGAGG
This 255-nucleotide long non-coding RNA is filed under the name Vigna radiata. RNAcentral's name for it is "long non-coding RNA (VRAD_LNC011360)". The record is from RNAcentral. Lineage: Eukaryota; Viridiplantae; Streptophyta; Magnoliopsida; Fabales; Fabaceae.